This 380-nucleotide ribosomal RNA is filed under the name uncultured eukaryote. RNAcentral's name for it is "partial 18S ribosomal RNA". It matches the Rfam family "Eukaryotic small subunit ribosomal RNA", at positions 592 to 976 of the family's 1831-position model. The record is from RNAcentral.
CAAUAGCGUAUAUUAAAGUUGUUGCGGUUAAAAAGCUCGUAGUUGGAUUUCUGCCGAGGACGACCGGUCCGCCCUCUGGGUGUGUAUCUGGCUUGGCCUGGGCAUCUUCUUGGAGAACGUAGCUGCACUUGACUGUGUGGUGCGGUGUCCAGGACUUUUACUUUGAGGAAAUUAGAGUGUUUCAAGCAGGCACACGCCUUGAAUACAUUAGCAUGGAAUAAUAAGAUAGGACCUCGGUUCUAUUUUGUUGGUUUCUAGAGCUGAGGUAAUGAUUAAUAGGGAUAGUUGGGGGCAUUCGUAUUUAACUGUCAGAGGUGAAAUUCUUGGAUUUGUUAAAGGCGGACUACUGCGAAAGCAUUUGCCAAGGAUGUUUUCAUUGA